AGCAGGUUAGGUCCACGGCGUAUGUUGCCGCAGCAACUAACUCUCGGUUGCGCUGAACCUGCUACUUGAAACGGAAAAUCCAGAGUUUCCACUAACUCAGAGCGAACAAACUCGGGGUUGCCUCAAAACCAGCUACCUGAAACAGGCCUCUGUUGACCUCGCUCAUUACUGCCUUUAAUAUGGGUCUCUGUGAUGCUCUUGUCCCGUCCCUGAUCUUUAUACAAGUAACUAGCAGUGCCAAGUGCCCAACCAACCAGUCUCUUGAAAGCUGUGGAGGAAAUGAUUAAGGAAAUGUGCUACCUGACCAACACAAGCCACUUGGUCCCUGAAGUCACUAAGGAGGUGAUGGAUAUUGCACAGGCCAUUCAGGACGUAUACAACUUGCCCCGGGCCGAUGGCGGGAUGCUUUGUCCCAGC
Gadus morhua (Atlantic cod) is the source of this 417-nucleotide long non-coding RNA. RefSeq lists it as uncharacterized. NCBI's taxonomy places the organism in Eukaryota, Metazoa, Chordata, Actinopteri, Gadiformes, Gadidae. The record is from RefSeq and is a predicted model, not a curated record. The transcript is spliced from 3 exons.